GCAGCAGCAGGCCCCGCCGCCGGAACCGGAGGACAGCGGCGACGGCUUCUGGAAAGGAUGGUACGGCCACUCGAUCGUCAAGAUUACCCACUGCUGUCUGUUUUGAUUUCUUCUAUAACCUGCGUGGUCCGUUUUCAUCUGCAGUUGUGCUGCGAUUUGCUGCUGCUGUCUGCUCGACACGUGCUGCUGACACAAGAGUUCGUACCGCCAACACCAGGAUAUCCUACGAUGAUCGAUCUACAUCUACUAGGAGCUGCUCAUAUACAGUUUGUUUCUAUCGUACGUAGUAUUUGUGCUGUUCGGAUCGAGAUUUGUAUGACGGUGUUCGGUGUAGAUCACUGCAUCGAAUUGUACUAUUACCUCCGUUCGGAAAUAAGUGGCGCUGUUUUAGUUUAUAAAUUGUACUCCUAUUACUAGUUAAUUUUGCAUCUUGGUUUUGGCCUCUACUGUAUCAUUGAUAUUGUUAUCUGCUGUUUUCCUGCAAAAAGAAAAUUUGUUAUCGACAGUGGUCUUCAUUUUGUUGGCUACGAAUUACACGCAACACCAGUAUAUAGGGGUGGAAAGUGGUAGCGGAUAAUCUGAAAUAUCCGAUAUUCGUAUUCGAGAAAAUGCCUAUUCGUAUCCGAAACAUCCGCAUCCGAACCAAAAUGGAAAUGGAAAUUAUCCGUAUCCGAAUUUAUUAAACAAAUAAAAAAUAAAAUAUGGUAGGAGAUUUUGACACAAAUAUGGAUAUGGAAGUGGAUAUAUCCGUAUCCGAAUAAGAUUAUGGGAGGUAAUUUUUAAAAUUCUAGGUCCAAUAUUCCAAUUAUCCAACAUAAAAGCCAAAUAAGUGGUCAAAUUUUACUCUUUAUAUGAUUAAACUUAUAAAUUAUUAUGCAUUACAAUAGUAUUUAUUCAUAAACCUAUUUAUCAUUGACUUAUUGUAUGUCACAAGUUGAUUAUUUUAGGUCACAUAGCUAUUGACUAAUUUACUUAAGCAAUAUGUUGAUAUUAUUCGUAUUCGAUCCGAAUCAAGAAAAUAUCCGAUACGUAUCCGUAUUCGAAUAAUAUUCAAGCCGCAUCCGUAUCUGAUAACAUCCGUAUUCGGAUUCGUAUUCGUUUUGAAAAUAUGAAAAUGGAAGUGGUAAGAGCACUAUCCGAUCCGCAUCCGAUCCGUUUCCACCCCUACCAGUAUACCAGGAUUCCAGGCGACAUUCAGAGGUUUCUGAUUGUCUGGUCGAAUGAUUUGGUUCAUGCUCCAGAAUUGUUUUGUGUUGUUAUUUAAUUGCAUGUGUUACUUCCGAUGAUUUGCUUGUUGCAUAUGUUGCAAUUUCUCCAAUUAGUUGUUGCAAAGGGUUAUUUUUCUGACGCAUACAGUAAUUUUUUAUACCACAUGCACGUGUUUAGAAUGAAAAAUGUUGUCUCACGACAAACAUGUUGCAUGGGGUUUUUAAUUUAAAUGGAUGGUUUUCAGAUUGUGAAUUGAGUCAACGGAAAGGCUAGGGAGCUGGCCGGUUGGGUAAAAAUUUGGCCAAGCAUUGGCUUAAGAUACGUGAUUGCAAAUUAACUUGCUCCGUGGCGGUUAUGUUCACACAAAAAAAACUUGCUCCGUGGCGGGCCAUGGUGAGUGUUGAAUGUCAACUAUGCGUGGAUCGUCAAAUUUGACCAGCUAGCUAUCUCGGGAGACACAAUGUCGGAAAUGGCAAGAAUUAUUGUCCUCAUGCAAAAGAACAUAUUGGACACUGCCUUAAAAUAUUGAACUUCACCUAUUACAGAACUCUAAACCUGACCUGUUUCAUUGGGAGGCAUGUUAUCUGAUAUUGUCUUAACACAACAUCUAGUAGUGGAGCAGUUUGCUUGAAAGAGGUUUUUUUCUUUAAUAUGUGCUAUAGCUAAGCAAGUACUACCUCCGUCUGGGUUUAUUAGUCCCCUUUGUAUUUUAUGUCCAAAUUUAACCAUAGAUUUGACUAACAAAAUAUAAGUUGUUUGUCACAAAAGUUAUAUGGUUGGAUCCAUAUUCGAAAGUCGCUUCAAUGAUACUAUCUUUGUGGUGUAUAACUUAUUUUUGAUAGUUAAAUCAAAGGUCAAAAAUUGACCCAAAAUACAAGGGGACUAAUAAAUCAGGACAGAGGUAGUAUGUAUCUACUGUUGGUUGCUUCCUCGUAAUUCGUGCAUGAGAUUAGGCAUAAAGAUUUGUUCUGUAAUUAAGAAAAGUAGAUAAUAGGAAUACAUCGGUUUUCCUAUUUCACACAAGUAAUCCCAUACCUAUGGAAAAAGAAUCGCGAAUUUGAUUAACAUGAUGACGUGAUUGGUUCAUCGUGAAAAUCUGAGAGGCCCGGUGUGGAGAAAAGGGAGGGUUGGGGGAAGAGUGCACGUAAAUUUGUAGAUCCAAGCCUCCAUUGGUUCACAAAAUUAAAAAAUGCAGGAAAGAAAAAAAACAAAAAAAAUUAUAAAAGUGUAUGUGUAAAACAGAGGAUUGAGAAACAUGGAAUUUCGCAAAAUUGGGUAUUUGGUUCAAAUGAAUAGGAAAAACACAUGAAUCCUAAUAAAUAGAGUCAAGUCAAAGUCAAACCACGUGGAAAGGUAUAAUUAACAUGUUUAUUACGCUAUUAAGAAUCUCAAUUUUGUUCUGAUGGCAUGUUGACCGGGGAUCAUCUCCAAAUCCGCUAGAUCCUGAUGUUGUCCUCUUCGUCCAGCGUGAUUGAAGAAGAAGAAGAGUGCCGCCACAAGUCGCCAUAUGCACACCACACUCCAAGACACCCGCAUACUCUGCACAAGCCGACGCUGUUGGGCCGAAGGACGCGGCCGGGAAUCGUGUCCCGCUCCGGCCAAACGGGUCCUUAGAGGCUUUGAAAAAUUCUCACGCCACGCCUAGAAUAUUUCCAAGAGUUGCUUUGAAAACAGAAGCGCGCGCGUUCAGAAGUCUGAAAUUAGGAGGAGGGAGGGAAGCGGUUUCUUGUUCUGGACAACGACGAGGAGGAACCAAAGUAGCAGCCGUCUAGUAUACGUGACGCGAUUAAUCACGCAGAUGCGACCGGCCGGCGCCCCCCUGAUUUGUAUAGUACCGAGUAAAUGAGUGCCAGCUUUGGAUUACGCGUCCAAACAAUCCUAAUUAAUCCGGCAGCACUCCACUGGCAGCAUAUGCCUCGCGGCACAUAGGAUUAUAUAAAGCGCAGGGCUCCGGCGGAAGAACACAUCUCACAAAGUUCAGAUCAGCGCGCAGUGUAGUGUUGCCAAGUAUUUCGUGGGUGGCAUCGAUCGAGGAAGAGAGACACCAUGAGCUACCCGCCGCCGGGCACCGCGUACCCUCCGCCGGGCCAGCAGCAGGCGUACCCGCCGCCGGGCAACGGUUACGGCUACCCUCCUUCGGGCCAGGAGCAGCCGCAGCAGCAGCAGCAGGCAUACCCGCCGCCGGCGUACGGCGCGCCGCCGCCCGUCGCCGCCGACUACUACCAGCCCAAGGACGGCGGCGCGUACCCGCCGCCGCAGCAGCAGGCGUACGGCGCGCCGCCGCCCGUCGCCGCCAACUACUACCCGCCGCCCCAGCAGCAGCAGGCCCCGCCGCCGCCGCCGCCGGAGGCGCAGAGCCGCGGCAGCGACGGCUUCUGGAAAGGAUGGUAAUUCACAGACCACUCGUCUAACACGACACGUACUUGCGUCGUGCAUCAUGCCUGCAUGCAUACCUAACUCCAUUACCCGUAUUAGUAACUGUCCGUCUGAUCCCUCUGCAUGUUUUGUUUGUUCUGAUCUGCGUGCAGCUGUGCCGCAAUCUGCUGCUGCUGCCUGCUCGACAUGUGCCUCUGAUCGAUGUUGCACAGGAUGAUGAUCCACAUGCAGCUGCUCGCCAUCGAUCGGAUCGUCGUUUCCUUGGCACAUCUUGGAUUUGGCUUAAUUCUGUAAUCACCAUGUCGCUCAGUUACCAUACCAAUCAGUCGAUUUGCUUUGUUGCUUCUUUCUUAGCGGAACCCCUCCCUGUAAUUUGUUGGCCAUGAAUUGGAUAUGUCAAGUUAUUUUCAGCAUCCAGUACAUUCUCCAGUUGAGUUUUUGCCAUUGCGAUCAGAGAUGAAACAAAAAAUUGCUGUUCCCCGGAUGUUCCAAAGCAACCUACGGCAAUGCCAAGGGUGCCAAAUGUCAGACACCUCUUUUGUUUGUCCAUAGGUAGAAACGGCAAAUAUAAU
This 4157-nucleotide long non-coding RNA is filed under the name Triticum aestivum (bread wheat). Its description in RNAcentral is "long non-coding RNA (TAES_LNC021246)". The record is from RNAcentral. Lineage: Eukaryota; Viridiplantae; Streptophyta; Magnoliopsida; Poales; Poaceae.